This 1234-nucleotide ribosomal RNA is filed under the name metagenome. Its description in RNAcentral is "bacterial LSU rRNA". It matches the Rfam family "Bacterial large subunit ribosomal RNA", at positions 1564 to 2808 of the family's 2925-position model. The record is from RNAcentral.
UGAGUACGAGACGCUACGGCGUCGAAGCAGUCUAUGUCAUACUUCCAAGAAAAGCUUGCACUGUCAUAAACAAAUAAUGCCUGUACCAUAACCGACACAGGUGGGUAGGUAGAGUAUACUAAGGGGCGCGAGAUAACUCUCUCUAAGGAACUCGGCAAAAUGACUCCGUAACUUCGGGAGAAGGAGUGCCUUAUUCUUAAGGUUGCAAUAACAAGAUCCAAGCAACUGUUUAUCAAAAACACAGGUCUCCGCUAAGUCGUAAGACGAUGUAUGGGGGCUGACGCCUGCCCAGUGCCAGAAGGUUAAAGAAGUUGGUUAGCAUUCGCGAAGCUGAUAACUGAAGCCCUGGUGAACGGCGGCCGUAACGAUAACGGUCCUAAGGUAGCGAAAUUCCUUGUCGGGUAGUUCCGACCCGCACGAAAGGCGUAAUGAUUUGGAUACUGUCUCGGAGAGGGGCUCGGUGAAAUAGACUUGUCUGUGAAGAUGCGGACUACCUGCACCUGGACAGAAAGACCCUAUGAAGCUUUACUGUAACUUGAAAUUGAAAUUGGACUUUAUUUGCGCAGUAUAGGUGGGAGGCGUUGAGAAUAUUCUUGCGGGAAUAUUGGAGCCAUCAGUGAGAUACCACUCUUGUAAUGUUAGAUUUCUAACUUUGAAUCAUUAUCUGGUCAAAGGACGGUUUCAGGCGGGCAGUUUGACUGGGGCGGUCGCCUCCUAAAUGGUAACGGAGGCGCACAAAGGUUUCCUCUGAACGGGUAGAAAUCGUAUCUAGAGUGUAAAGGCAUAAGGAAGCUUGACUGUGAGACCUACAAGUCGAGCAGGGACGAAAGUCGGUCUUAGUGAUCUGACGGUGCUGAGUGGAAAGGCCGUCACUCAACGGAUAAAAGUUACUCUAAGGAUAACAGGCUGAUCUCCCCCAAGAGUUCACAUCGACGGGGAGGUUUGGCACCUCGAUGUCGGCUCAUCGCAUCCUGGGGCGGUAGUACGUCCCAAGGGUUGGGCUGUUCGCCCAUGAAAGCGGUACGCGAGCUGGGUUCAGAACGUCGUGAGACAGUUCGGUCCAUAUCCGGUGUAGGCGUUAGAGUAUUGAGAGGAGCCUUCUUUAGUACGAGAGGACCGAGAAGGACAUACCUCUGGUGUACCAGUUAUCGUGCCAACGGUUAACGCUGGGUAGCUAUGUAUGGAGAGGAUAACCGCUGAAAGCAUCUAAGUGGGAAGCCCACCUCAAGAUAAG